UACAGAGACUGCAAGCGUUAUUCGGAUUCACUGGGCGUAAAGGGUGCGCAGGCGGCCAAGUGUGUGAGGCGUGAAAGCCCGGGGCUUAACCCCGGAACUGCACCUCAAACUACUUGGCUAGAGCAUUGGAGAGGGUAGCAGAAUUCAUGGUGUAGCAGUGAAAUGCGUAGAUAUCGGGAGGAACACCUGUGGCGAAGGCGACCCCCUGGUUGGAUACUGACGCUGAGACGCGAAAGCGUGGGGAGCAAACAGG
Molecule: ribosomal RNA, 253 nt
Filed under: uncultured bacterium
Lineage: Bacteria
Description: partial 16S ribosomal RNA
Rfam family: Bacterial small subunit ribosomal RNA
Source: RNAcentral